GUGAUGACGAGGGAAUUAUAGUACCGAAGUUCCUGAUUCCACACUGCCAAGAAAAGCCUCUAGCGCGGCGGGAGGUGCCCGUACCGCAAACCGACACAGGUAGGCGAGGAGAGAAUCCUCAGGUGAUCGAGAGAACUCUCGUUAAGGAACUCGGCAAAAUGACCCCGUAACUUCGGGAGAAGGGGUGCUCUGGUAGGGUGUAUAGCCCGAGAGAGCCGCAGUGAAUAGGCCCAGGCGACUGUUUAGCAAAAACACAGGUCUCUGCGAAGCCGCAAGGCGAAGUGUAGGAUGU
This 292-nucleotide ribosomal RNA is filed under the name Microbacterium testaceum. RNAcentral's name for it is "partial 23S ribosomal RNA". It matches the Rfam family "Bacterial large subunit ribosomal RNA", at positions 1563 to 1853 of the family's 2925-position model. Lineage: Bacteria; Bacillati; Actinomycetota; Actinomycetes; Micrococcales; Microbacteriaceae. The record is from RNAcentral.